UAACAUGGCUGCUCGGGCUGCCGGUCACUAGCGGCAGCCACCGGGUAUCAUUGCCGGUUUGUGUUGUCAAUUAGCGGGUUACUUGUUGUUCCUUUGUUGCAGUAAUUACUCCUGAAGUCAAUUGAGAAGUUCAACUCAGAGCAGACACGUGUCAGCUGCUGCGAAAACACUAAAGAAAAGGCCAAUCUGCUGCCAACGGACAGCCUCUCCCAACAUAUUGGUGAGCACAUCCAACCCUCGCUGAGUGGUUCAGGAGAAAAAGAGCAGCAACAAAGGAAACGAGAGGCCACCUGCACAGUCAUCCAUCUCUCAACUUUUAUGAACCCAUUCGGACCUGCAAGGUCUUGGCACCGCGCCACAUGACUUGUGUGCAGCCACUGACAUGACUGACCGCUGUUCAAAUCCACUGGGACCGAAACCACCCUUCAGUUUCAUCGUCCACGUGUCUUUGCUUCUUUAGCAAAACACCAAGCUCCCCCUCUGUUAUGUUAAAAACCUUAUUUUACUUUUGUUGUUUGCAGUCAUAAAAAAGAAGGGGUUUCCCCAAUUUUGCUGUACUUAUCCCGACCAGCAGAGUGCGCCACUUUGGCAGUGCAGCCUGAGGGGAGAUUAACCUGCAGGUCUCUGAGUAAAAGGGAGGACACACACACACACACACAAAUUCAAAAACUCUCUCGCUGUGAAAGAAGUAUACACAUGCAAGGGUGCCGACGCAGGUUCAAUGACUUUGAUCGUGUAAUUCCUGCGUAAUCUCUGUAAUCUUUUAAAGCAGAGCUGUUUAAAUGUAUGUUGCAUGUGCGCAAUUGUGAGUGUGUGUGUGUGUGUGUGUGAGUGAAGAUGUGUGAAAUGUUCACUGGAUUAACAAGAUGAAGCAGAGGCCGGGAAUACAGCUAAAGAGAAAUCUUUAAGAAUCAAACGUUCUUUCAGAUUUCUGCUCAGACCAGCAGGCUGGAGUUGGAGGCUGCGCGUGUUGUGUUUAUGACACAAAGAAAUUCUCAUAUUCAGCUUGUUUAAAGAGUUCAUUCGGUGUCUUAUCCGUGGAGUGGGUGUGAGUUUUAUUUGGCAGCUGAACAGAUAUUUUCUACACUCUGCAGUCUUCACAUCAGGCAGCACACUUUGACCGACCUGUCAUUGUAAUUAUAAGGUUCUAUUGGAUGUAAGUCAGUGAUGAUACUUCUCUUUGUUGCAUGACAACAAUUGAAAAUCACAUGGAUGCGAGCAAAAUAAAUCACGAUCAUGA
This is a long non-coding RNA of Gasterosteus aculeatus aculeatus (three-spined stickleback), 1240 nucleotides long. Lineage: Eukaryota; Metazoa; Chordata; Actinopteri; Perciformes; Gasterosteidae. The record is from Ensembl.